This 624-nucleotide ribosomal RNA is filed under the name uncultured bacterium. RNAcentral describes it as "bacterial SSU rRNA". The stretch from base 1 to 541 matches the Rfam family "Bacterial small subunit ribosomal RNA", at positions 338 to 873 of the family's 1533-position model. The record is from RNAcentral.
CCUACGGGAGGCAGCAGUGGGGAAUAUUGGACAAUGGGCGAAAGCCUGAUCCAGCAAUUCCGCGUGUGUGAAGAAGGCCUUCGGGUUGUAAAGCACUUUAGUGGGGGAAGAAACAGCUUGGCCACACCAAGCCUUGACGGUACCCCAAGAAUAAGCACCGGCUAACUCUGUGCCAGCAGCCGCGGUAAUACAGAGGGUGCAAGCGUUAAUCGGAUUUACUGGGCGUAAAGGGUGCGUAGGUGGCUAUUUAAGUCGGAUGUGAAAGCCCGGGGCUCAACCUCGGAAUUGCAUUCGAUACUGAGUGGCUAGAGUUCGGUAGAGGGCGGCGGAAUUUCCGGUGUAGCGGUGAAAUGCGUAGAUAUCGGAAGGAACAUCAAUGGCGAAGGCAGCCGCCUGGGCCUGGACUGACACUGAGGCACGAAAAGCGUGGGUAGCAAAACAGGAUUAGAUACCCUGGUAGUCCACGCCGUAAACGAUGAGAACUUGACGUUGGUUCGUUUUACGAAUCGGUGUCGCAGCUAACGCGAUAAAGUUCUCCGCCUGGGGGAGGUACGGCCGCGAGUAGAAACGUAACAAAGAAAGUAGUUAGGCGUGAGAGNGCGACGGACGACACGAGGGAGGAGG